Molecule: ribosomal RNA, 494 nt
Filed under: uncultured bacterium
Lineage: Bacteria
Description: partial 16S ribosomal RNA
Rfam family: Bacterial small subunit ribosomal RNA
Source: RNAcentral
GACGAACGCUGGCGGCGUGCUUAACACAUGCAAGUCGAACGGAAAGGCCUGCUUUCCCUUGUGGAUUGCGGGUACUCGAGUGGCGAGCGGGUGAGUAACACGUGAGUGAUCUGCCCCCAACUUGGGUAUAAGCCUGGGAAACUGGGUCUAAUUCCCGAUAGGACUGCAGGGUGGUGCCUGUGGUGGAAAACGAUUUUCUAGUGGUUGGGGAUGAGCUCGCGGCCUAUCAGCUUGUUGGUGGGGUAAUGGCCUACCAAGGCGGCGACGGGUAGCCGGCCUGAGAGGGUGGACGGCCACAUUGGGACUGAGAUACGGCCCAGACUCCUACGGGAGGCAGCAGUGGGGAAUAUUGCACAAUGGGCGGAAGCCUGAUGCAGCGACGCCGCGUGGGGGAUGACGGCCUUCGGGUGGUAAACUCCUUUCGACCGCGAGGAAGCCACCUGGUUGGAAGGGUGGUGACGGUAGUGGUAGAAGAAGCACCGGCUAACUACGUG